This is a long non-coding RNA of Haliaeetus leucocephalus (bald eagle), 1230 nucleotides long. RefSeq lists it as uncharacterized. NCBI's taxonomy places the organism in Eukaryota, Metazoa, Chordata, Aves, Accipitriformes, Accipitridae. The transcript has 2 exons. The record is from RefSeq and is a predicted model, not a curated record.
AGAACGGCUCGUCCCGGUCCGGGGAGAGCAGGGCAGAUGACGGGGGGUCCCCGGUCCCUCUGCCCGGCACAGGGCGGCCGGGGGGGGCCGGGGGGCAGCGGGGAAAAAACGAACCCCGGCCGCUGGGAGAGCCCGCUACCGGGGGGAGUCAGAAGUGACUCGUCGGGGUGGUCUCACUCUCGGUUCUGUCCUUACGGAUUUCCAGCCCACCGGAAAGUUUCUCACCCGAGCUUUUGAAUAUUUUAUGAAAAUUUGAAUAUUUUACCGUAACCACUCAUUUUCCCGGAAGCCCAAACGAAGCCUGGGGAGCAGAUCUGCUCCCCACCCCGCUUCGCCCGACCGAAGCGGAAGGGCGGCAUGGCUUCAGUGCCGGGACCCCCCCAACCUCACCGGGAACUGCCCUGGGAGCAGAAUCGGGCCCCUCGGGAGCUCGGUAUCUCCCCCGGACGAGUAAAUAACCGAGCGACCUCAAGUCCAAAAGGCGGUUACAUUUGGAAAAAAAAAAAAACAAACCAACAAAACACCAAAAACCCCGGUUGCUGCUGCUUUUUUACAGCGAUAUCCCAGCAUUUCCUGGCUCUGAACUUUUUUGCUUAAUUGCACCGUUUGACCUUCUGCUAAAAGGAGGCGAUUCUUCGCUUCUUUCUAUAUGUCAAAUAAUUCCGUAUGUGCCGGGAGUAAUAAAAGUACCAGCAGACACCCAGGGUGCCGAGUAUUUGCAUUCGGUACUUUUAACGACGAGAUUUAAAAUCGCUGAAUUUAAUUAUGCCAAAGAGGAGGACAACACGGUCGACUGCAGAGCUCCAAGUACCUGAAUUUACGCCCAAAUCUACGCGAAGUCUGACAAGAGACGAAACCGCUAGCCCGGUGCCACUGGGGCGGGAGAGGGACGGGGAGGGGCGGGACACACAUAAAAAUAGGGGCUGGGGGACAUCUCCGAGGGAAAAGGUGUCCGAAAACGGGACGCUGAGAAACCUGACGUCGAGGGGAUGAGCUGGAUGUUGAGCCUGGGACGAAAGCGAGCCGUCACACAGAGAUUUAGUUAUUAUCAGUCAAAUCUUUGGACCGGGGAACGAAAAGGGGAGAGAAACUUCAUAUGUGCGGCUGGAGAGAAGCGGCCCGGGGGCCCACGGUGGCGGGGGGGCAUUUCUGAAAUUACACCCCCUGCUCCUGGCCACAGCUUUGAAAUAAUGAAAGUUUAAAAAAAAAAAAAAGAAAGAAAGAAAGAAA